RNAcentral lists this ribosomal RNA (477 nucleotides) under uncultured Planctomycetales bacterium. RNAcentral describes it as "bacterial SSU rRNA". It matches the Rfam family "Bacterial small subunit ribosomal RNA", at positions 365 to 832 of the family's 1533-position model. The record is from RNAcentral. Lineage: Bacteria; Pseudomonadati; Planctomycetota; Planctomycetia; Planctomycetales.
UUCGCAAUGCCCGAAAGGGUGACGAAGCGACGCCGCGUGCGGGAAGAAGGCCUUCGGGUUGUAAACCGCUGUCGGGAGUUAAGAAAUGUAAGGAUGUUAAUAGCAUCUUUGCUUGACUAAGGCUCCGGAGGAAGCCACGGCUAACUCUGUGCCAGCAGCCGCGGUAAUACAGAGGUGGCAAGCGUUGUUCGGAAUUAUUGGGCGUAAAGAGCACGUAGGCGGUUCUGCAAGUCGGCUGUGAAAGCCUUCCGCUCAACGGAAGAACAGCAGUUGAUACUACAGGACUCGAGUGCGGGAGGGGAGAGUGGAACUUCUGGUGGAGCGGUGAAAUGCGUAGAUAUCAGAAGGAACGCCGGCGGCGAAAGCGGCUCUCUGGCCCAUAACUGACGCUGAGUGUGCGAAAGCUAGGGGAGCAAACGGGAUUAGAUACCCCGGUAGUCCUAGCCGUAAACGAUGGGCACUAAGUAGAGGGGUUUU